Molecule: long non-coding RNA, 525 nt
Filed under: Monodelphis domestica (gray short-tailed opossum)
Lineage: Eukaryota; Metazoa; Chordata; Mammalia; Didelphimorphia; Didelphidae
Description: lncRNA (ENSMODG00000031219.2)
Source: RNAcentral
AAGCGCUCGGCCUAGGUGAGGUAAGGGAGCCAGCGAGUUGGGCAUUGCCCUUUCUGUCUUCCUUGGUUCCUCAGCCCAAGCUUGUCCCGAAGGCCUCAAUCAACAAAAGGACCCUGGGCAAGAGCCACUCCAGCAUCUUUGGCUACGCCGCUCGUCUCUGGCACAGGAAGGAGCCCCAGUGGAACAUGGAGAUCCCAACCUAGGGAUUCCGGGGUACGGCUGCCGCGUGUCCCCGCCUGCUGACUCACAAAGCCCGGGGUGCCAGGAGGAGCGCCAGAACUUCAUGCUUUUAAGGUUUGGUUGGCUGAUGAAAAGCAAGCAAUGAAGAACAUCCCAAGAAAGUGGGCUCUGGUGUUGCCCCGCGGCGCAGCCUCCUGACGCCUGUCGCUUUGCUCCAGGUAAGCAGCCGCUCUGUCUGCCCCGCGGAGGGGUUGCCCACUUUCCUCCCAGGGUAGUGCUCGACACAAUGCCUGGCACAUAGGAGGCGCCUAAUAAAUGUGUAUUGAUUACUUGAUGGAGAUCUGC